UACGGGGGGGGCAAGCGUUGUUCGGAAUUACUGGGCGUAAAGGGCUCGUAGGUGGCUAACUAAGUCAGACGUGAAAUCCCUCGGCUCAACCGAGGACGUGCAUUCGAAACUGCUUGGCUCGAGUAUGGAAGAGGGUCGCGGAAUUCCCGGUGUAGAGGUGAAAUUCGUAGAUAUCGGGAGGAACACCAGUGGCGAAGGCGGCGACCUGGGCCAAUACUGACGCUGAGGUGCGAAAGCGUGGGGAGCAAACAGG
This 253-nucleotide ribosomal RNA is filed under the name uncultured bacterium. RNAcentral's name for it is "partial 16S ribosomal RNA". It matches the Rfam family "Bacterial small subunit ribosomal RNA", at positions 524 to 776 of the family's 1533-position model. The record is from RNAcentral.